Molecule: non-coding RNA, 268 nt
Organism: Larimichthys crocea (large yellow croaker)
Lineage: Eukaryota; Metazoa; Chordata; Actinopteri; Sciaenidae
Source: Ensembl
GGUCUGUGAUGUCAUGUAAAAGGUCUGAACCUCAGAUUCCCCCCGUUGGCCAUCUUGGCUCCCAGCAGCCCCGGCUCUGUAUCCCAUCAUGCUCUAGUGGUGCAGUGGUGGUCCCAGGAGCUGCUGACAGACAGGAUGUGACAUCACAGGGAAUCUGUACAGAGAUCCUACAGGUUCUGUGUGAUGUCAUCCAACAGAACCAAUCAGCAUGGAGCGUCAGGCUGAGGGGGCGGGGCCUGAGUGCUGAUCUCACUCUUGUACUGAGACC